This 254-nucleotide ribosomal RNA is filed under the name uncultured bacterium. Its description in RNAcentral is "partial 16S ribosomal RNA". It matches the Rfam family "Bacterial small subunit ribosomal RNA", at positions 524 to 776 of the family's 1533-position model. The record is from RNAcentral.
UACGUAGGGUGCGAGCGUUUGUCCGGAAUUACUGGGCGUAAAGAGCUCGUAGGUGGUUUGUCGCGUUGUUCGUGAAAACUCACAGCUUAACUGUGGGCGUGCGGGCGAUACGGGCAGACUGGAGUACUGCAGGGGAGACUGGAAUUCCUGGUGUAGCGGUGGAAUGCGCAGAUAUCAGGAGGAACACCGGUGGCGAAGGCGGGUCUCUGGGCAGUAACUGACGCUGAGACACGAAAGCGUGGGUAGCAAACAGG